This 465-nucleotide ribosomal RNA is filed under the name uncultured bacterium. RNAcentral's name for it is "partial 16S ribosomal RNA". It matches the Rfam family "Bacterial small subunit ribosomal RNA", at positions 339 to 795 of the family's 1533-position model. The record is from RNAcentral.
CUACGGGCGGCUCCAGUGAGGAAUUUUGCGCAAUGGGGGAAACCCUGACGCAGCAACGCCGCGUGAGUGAUGAAGGCCUUCGGGUCGUAAAACUCUGUCAAGUGGGAAGAACCUAUGUAAGGUUAAUACCCUUAUGUACUGACGGUACCACUGAAGGAAGCACCGGCUAACUCCGUGCCAGCAGCCGCGGUAAUACGGAGGGUGCAAGCGUUAUUCGGAAUUAUUGGGCGUAAAGGGCGCGCAGGCGGUUUUGUAAGUCAGAUGUGAAAGCCCGGGGCUUAACCUCGGAAGUGCAUUUGAUACUGCAAGACUUGAGUAUGGGAGGGGGAAGUGGAAUUCCUGGUGUAGAGGUGAAAUUCGUAGAUAUCAGGAGGAACACCAGUGGCGAAGGCGACUUCCUGGACCAAUACUGACGCUGAGGCGCGAGGGCGUGGGGAGCAAACAGGAUUAGAUACCCUCGUAGUC